RNAcentral lists this non-coding RNA (385 nucleotides) under Medicago truncatula (barrel medic). RNAcentral describes it as "Bacterial large subunit ribosomal RNA". It matches the Rfam family "Bacterial large subunit ribosomal RNA", at positions 2239 to 2636 of the family's 2925-position model. Lineage: Eukaryota; Viridiplantae; Streptophyta; Magnoliopsida; Fabales; Fabaceae. The record is from Rfam by way of RNAcentral.
AGGCCCCGUGGUCUCGUCCCGCCUCGACGGGCUAUGGGCCGGCCCUGUCCAAACAGAGGCGUGCAAAGGUUUCCUCGGGCCAGAUGGAGAUUGGCCCUCGAGUGCAAAGGCAGAAGGGAGUUUGACUGCAAGACCCACCCGUCGAGCAGGGACGAAAGUCGGCCUUAAUGAUCCGACGGUGCCGAGUGGAAGGGUCGUCACUCAACGGAUAAAAGUUACCCUAGGGAUAACAGGCUGAUCUUCCCCAAGAGCUCACAUCGACGGGAAGGUUUGGCACCUCCAUGCUCUUCGCCACCUAGAGCUGUAGUAUGUUCCAAGGGUUGGGCUGUUCGCCCAUUAAAGCGGUGCGUGAGCUCGGUUCAGAACGUCGUGAGACAGUUCGGUC